GCUCUCGUAGUUCAACGGAUAGAACACAAGUUUGCGGAACUUGCGAUAUAGGUUCGAUUCCUGUCGAGAGCA
Molecule: transfer RNA, 72 nt
Rfam family: tRNA
About the family: Transfer RNA (tRNA) molecules are approximately 80 nucleotides in length. Their secondary structure includes four short double-helical elements and three loops (D, anti-codon, and T loops).